UACGGAGGGUGCAAACGUUGCUCGGAAUCAUUGGGCGUAAAGCGCACGUAGGUGGUUUGUUAAGUCGGGUGUGAAAGCCCUGGGCUCAACCCAGGAAGUGCACUCGAAACUGGCAGACUUGAGUACUGAAGAGGGUCGCGGAAUUCCCGGUGUAGAGGUGAAAUUCGUAGAUAUCGGGAGGAACACCAGUGGCGAAGGCGGCGACCUGGGCAGAUACUGACACUGAGGUGCGAAAGCGUGGGGAGCAAACAGGG
RNAcentral lists this ribosomal RNA (254 nucleotides) under uncultured bacterium. RNAcentral's name for it is "partial 16S ribosomal RNA". It matches the Rfam family "Bacterial small subunit ribosomal RNA", at positions 524 to 777 of the family's 1533-position model. The record is from RNAcentral.